CUGCAUGAAAUAUAGUGAACUAAAGUGGGUUCAGCUUGAAGGCGAUCAACAGAAACUUCUCUUGUUAUUCGACAUAAAACGAAGGCAAGCAUAUUAACGCAUUUAAUGCCACACUCAGAUUGAUGUCAUGUCCAAGUUCUUCAAGCUGAUGAUGGUAGGUGUUCUGCUUCACUUCUUUCUCAUUGUUGAAGUUGUCCCAGGUCCUGCAAUUAAUGAAUGAUUUGAACCAAAGUGUUCGAAAUGUUGUUCUCUUGUAUUGAGGCUUACUGUGUGCUUGAGGUUCUUCGACCUCUCUAUGAAUCCCCUAAGAUACCGGCACAAAAGAUAACUGUUGCGAUAUGUGUCAUUGAUCAAUUUCGUUGUUACUAGGAGUUUAAGGUAAAAGACAUAUGGCAUAUGAUGACUUGUGGACAUGUUAUUAAUGGAAUGUACUGUUAUAUAUAUUGAGUAUCUGUUUGAAU
Long non-coding RNA from Zea mays, 461 nucleotides. RefSeq lists it as uncharacterized. The record is from RefSeq and is a predicted model, not a curated record. The transcript is spliced from 5 exons. NCBI's taxonomy places the organism in Eukaryota, Viridiplantae, Streptophyta, Magnoliopsida, Poales, Poaceae.